UUUGUACCACGAAAGCAGUGUUCAGUUCAGUCUUGGUGCUUCAUGUGUCUGCAGAACCUGGCAUCAGCAGGGAUGAUUGCAUGUAUAUCAGUGCAAAGGGAAGCUAGAUCUUCUGAGAGCUGUCUGGAUACACUUCAAAUACCAACCCAUAUCGUCAAGGUACAUCUAUAAGUGUGAAACGUGUUCAAAAGGGGAAUGUUUUCCACUGCCUGAAAAGAGACAAGCUCUGGAAGAGAGUACUGGAGCACCUCUUCCAGAUGGCUGAUGAAUCAGAGCUCUUCAGUCUGAGCCAGGAACAGACUUGUGCUGCACCCAUGCCGAGAUUCUGGCAUGCAUUAAUGAUUUUGCCAUGGAAAGCGAGAAAACUUCCAUGGAUCAACAAAUGAAGUAUUAAGAAGUAUAUGAAACAAGUUCAUCCACAAGUAUGGAUCAUCAGAGCAUCUGCUUUGCUGUAGAGAUGUUUCUUAUAGCUUCCGUGAAUUUUCAUGCACUUAGAAUAUAACAAGCAUGGUGACUUGUAGGCUUGCUAGCUCUCCAGAUCAUUGAGCAACUCUGGUCUAUGAUGGAAUGACGACACUUCUGACCGUUAACUUUUGCCUACAUGAAAACUCACCCAGUUUUUGCUGAUUUUCUGAUCCGUGAAAAAAACAUGACCAGCUUUGCCAGAAUUCUUGUGUGUUUUUUUCUUAAGCCCUGGAGAAAUUUAUUUAAAAUAAAUUAAUUGGUUCUUGUUGGCCUGCAAAUAUAUUGACACCCUAGGGGAGAGUUUACAUUUCCAUGCAAUGCGAGUGAUGUAAGCGAAUC
Centrocercus urophasianus (Greater sage-grouse) is the source of this 804-nucleotide long non-coding RNA. RefSeq lists it as uncharacterized. The transcript has 4 exons. The record is from RefSeq and is a predicted model, not a curated record. Lineage: Eukaryota; Metazoa; Chordata; Aves; Galliformes; Phasianidae.